CCUACGGGUGGCAGCAGUGAGGAAUAUUGGUCAAUGGGCGAGAGCCUGAACCAGCCAAGUCGCGUGAAGGAUGACGGCCCUACGGGUUGUAAACUUCUUUUGUCAGGGAGCAAUUGGGUCCACGCGUGGGCUUAGCGAGAGUACCUGAAGAAAAAGCAUCGGCUAACUCCGUGCCAGCAGCCGCGGUAAUACGGAGGAUGCGAGCGUUAUCCGGAUUUAUUGGGUUUAAAGGGAGCGUAGGCGGGUUGUUAAGUCAGUUGUGAAAGUUUGCGGCUCAACCGUAAAAUUGCAGUUGAUACUGGCAUCCUUGAGUACAGUAGAGGUAGGCGGAAUUCGUGGUGUAGCGGUGAAAUGCUUAGAUAUCACGAAGAACUCCGAUUGCGAAGGCAGCCUGCUGGACUGUAACUGACGCUGAUGCUCGAAAGUGUGGGUAUCAAACAGGAUUAGAUACCCUAGUAGUC
RNAcentral lists this ribosomal RNA (461 nucleotides) under uncultured bacterium. RNAcentral's name for it is "partial 16S ribosomal RNA". It matches the Rfam family "Bacterial small subunit ribosomal RNA", at positions 338 to 795 of the family's 1533-position model. The record is from RNAcentral.